AUUCUGAGAGGAUCCAGACAUCAUAUAAAUAUUCUCCGCUUUACCUUAGUGUAGAACCGACGCUUGUGCUGAUCAGUAGUGAUAUAUCAUCGCACGCCGAGCUGCGACCAUAACGUUUUGCCUACCUGAGCAUUAGGGCUAUCCUGUUUAUAAAGUUUGUUUUCGCGGUGACUGAUACUCAAAACAAGUGAAAAUGGCCCAAGAACUGAAGGUGGAUUCGCCUAAUGUGCACUAUGGUGAGGAUUACAUUGAAGUCGAUUAUCAGUACCAAACCACAUCGGUUCUCAGCACAGGACCCACCGGAUUUACGGUACGACCAGAAACCACCGAACUCAGCAUCCGCACGGAUCGCCGCGUGCCUCGCUUGGGUCUCAUGUUGGUUGGUUGGGGUGGCAACAACGGUUCCACGCUAACGGCUGCCCUGGAAGCCAACAAACAUGGUUUGGAAUGGAGGACGCGCACCGGAACGCAAAAAGCCAACUGGUUUGGCUCAAUUACGCAAGCAUCCACGGUCCUACUGGGAACAGAUGCCAGUGGACAAGAUGUCUACAUCCCGAUGAAGAACCUGGUGCCGAUGGUCAAUCCCGAUGAUAUAGUGGUUGACGGGUGGGAUAUUAGCUCGAUGAAUAUCGGGGAGGCAAUGGUACGAGCAAAGGUGCUGGAUGUACCCCUGCAGGAUCAAGUCCACAGAAAAUUGUCCCAACUGAAACCCCGCCCGUCCAUCUACGAUCCGGCUUUCAUAGCAGCAAAUCAGGCAGAACGAGCUGACAACGUAAUCGGGGGAACCCGUCACGAACAGUACGAACAGAUUGUGAGGGACAUCCGCGAAUUCAAACAAUCUUCAGGCGUGGAGAAGGUGGUAGUUUUGUGGACUGCCAACACAGAACGUUUCGCUGAGGUCAAAGAAGGGCUGAACACCACAAUGGCAGAGUUGAAGAAGUCUUUGGAGGAGAAUAAAUCGGAAAUAGCUCCGUCGACCAUUUUUGCAAUGGCCGCCAUCGCAGAAAAUUGCAUUUACAUCAACGGAUCACCGCAAAACACAUUCGUGCCGGGAGUGAUCGAAAUGGCUGAACAUUACGGAGGAUUCAUCGCGGGCGAUGAUUUUAAAUCCGGUCAGACCAAACUGAAAUCGGUGCUGGUUGAUUUUCUCGUGUCGGCUGGCAUCAAGCCGGUCUCUAUUGUGAGCUACAAUCAUUUGGGCAACAACGAUGGAAAGAAUCUCUCUGCGCCACAGCAAUUUCGAUCGAAAGAGAUCUCAAAAAGUAAUGUAGUUGAUGAUGCGAUUGCUGCUAAUAACAUUUUGUAUAAACCCGAUGAACAUCCCGAUCACUGUGUGGUCAUCAAAUAUGUCCCAUAUGUUGGUGACAGUAAACGAGCCAUGGAUGAGUACACCAGCCAGAUCAUGCUCGGUGGCCACAACACGCUGGUGAUUCACAACACCUGCGAGGACUCACUGCUAGCAUCCCCAUUGAUUCUGGAUUUGGCUAUUCUAGGCGAGCUUUGCUCCCGUAUCCACAUCAAGAGGAAGUCCGAGACCAGCGCUGAAUAUCAGCCCUUCAGAUCGGUAUUGUCAAUUUUGAGCUAUCUUUGCAAGGCCCCUCUCGUGCCACAUGGUACGCCAGUGGUGAAUUCACUGUUUCGUCAGCGGUCGGCAAUCGAGAAUGUCCUGCGGGCGUGCGUUGGUUUGCCUCCAAUCAAUCACAUGGCUUUGGAGCAUCGGUUCAACUUGAAUGUAACCGCCAACGAACCACCAACGAAGAAAAGUAAAAUCACUAAUGGAUCUUUACCAAAGGUUCAUUCGAAUGGAAACUGUAAAGACGUUCACCUCAAUGGGAAUGGCGUUAACGGUACGGCGAAUUGUUGAGGUUAUUGCUCUUUCAGUUCGUCAUUCAUUCAAAAGAAGCCAGAUUUUAUCAUCCUUGAACAGCGCGGUUUCAUUUGGAGUCAUAUUGUAAAACAAAUUAAAACACUUUUAAGUGUUUGAUAUUCGAAAUUGCAGUGUCAAAGUAUUAGUAGAUGGUUAUGUUUACUAUCAUAGAAAUCUUGCCAUCUUGACAAUGUCCAACAGCUGUGAAUGAUCACAUUCCAUUUUUCUUCCGGGAGCUACCUUGUGAACUUGAACUCAUUAUUGGAUAACCGCGCGAGAUAGCUGGUGGAUGAUAAUCCAGACGACCGGAGUUCGAACCCAUAUCGGAGCAGUUUUCACCAAACAUCAAUCUGUGCCAUUUUAGACAUUCAUAUUCCACGCCCAACACGAGUCAAUCAAACAAUUAUUAUUUCUACAAACAUAAAUACUCAUAUAUAAAAAUGGCAAUUCGUGAGGCUA
This is an RNA transcript of Toxorhynchites rutilus septentrionalis, 2326 nucleotides long. It is a transcript of the gene named inositol-3-phosphate synthase, with no coding region annotated. The transcript has 7 exons. Lineage: Eukaryota; Metazoa; Arthropoda; Insecta; Diptera; Culicidae. The record is from RefSeq and is a predicted model, not a curated record.